UGUGAUUGCUUGGUGAUUGUUUUUUGGUUGAAGGAAGUGGGAUAGAAAAAAAGACGAUGGCUUUCGCAAGAUUUCUGGAUCAUUGUAAAGUUACGUACACACAAAGUGCUAGAAUUUUCCUCACGGAUAAUGUAUCCAGUGAUGUCCUGAGACCAGUGCUUGUAAGACUGGAAACCCUUGAAAGGAGCAUAAGAUGGGCAAGAGGGAGGAUUCUCCAUCUUAAUGAUGCUGAUGAACUUCUCCCAUUAGUUAGCGAAUUUAUUCAACUUGUGAAAACCGCUUUGUCAACUGAAGAAGGUACCUUUGGAUAUCAA
This is a long non-coding RNA of Carassius carassius (crucian carp), 314 nucleotides long. RefSeq lists it as uncharacterized. The record is from RefSeq and is a predicted model, not a curated record. NCBI's taxonomy places the organism in Eukaryota, Metazoa, Chordata, Actinopteri, Cypriniformes, Cyprinidae. The transcript has 3 exons.